AGCGGGGUAGGGGAAUGGUACCCCAUCUGGCUCAUAACCAGAAGGUGCACGUUCGAGUCGUGCCCCCGCUA
RNAcentral lists this transfer RNA (71 nucleotides) under Candidatus Berkelbacteria bacterium. Its description in RNAcentral is "tRNA-Met". It matches the Rfam family "tRNA". Rfam says of the family: Transfer RNA (tRNA) molecules are approximately 80 nucleotides in length. Their secondary structure includes four short double-helical elements and three loops (D, anti-codon, and T loops). Further hydrogen bonds mediate the characteristic L-shaped molecular structure. tRNAs have two regions of fundamental functional importance: the anti-codon, which is responsible for specific mRNA codon recognition, and the 3' end, to which the tRNAs corresponding amino acid is attached (by aminoacyl-tRNA synthetases). tRNAs cope with the degeneracy of the genetic code in two manners: having more than one tRNA (with a specific anti-codon) for a particular amino acid; and 'wobble' base-pairing, i.e. permitting non-standard base-pairing at the 3rd anti-codon position. Lineage: Bacteria; Candidatus Berkelbacteria. The record is from RNAcentral.